AUUGAACGCUGGCGGCAUGCUUUACACAUGCAAGUCGAACGGUAACAGGCCGCAAGGUGCUGACGAGUGGCGAACGGGUGAGUAAUGCAUCGGAACGUGCCCAGUCGUGGGGGAUAACUACUCGAAAGAGUAGCUAAUACCGCAUACGAUCUAUGGAUGAAAGCGGGGGACCGUAAGGCCUCGCGCGAUUUGAGCGGCCGAUGUCAGAUUAGGUAGUUGGUGGGGUAAAGGCUCACCAAGCCAACGAUCUGUAGCUGGUCUGAGAGGACGACCAGCCACACUGGGACUGAGACACGGCACAGACUCCUACGGGAGGCAGCAGUGGGGAAUUUUGGACAAUGGGCGCAAGCCUGAUCCAGCAAUGCCGCGUGCAGGAAGAAGGCCUUCGGGUUGUAAACUGCUUUUGUACGGAACGAAACGGCUCUGGUUAAUACCCGGGGCUAAUGACGGUACCGUAAGAAUAAGCACCGGCUAACUACGUG
Molecule: ribosomal RNA, 482 nt
Filed under: uncultured bacterium
Lineage: Bacteria
Description: partial 16S ribosomal RNA
Rfam family: Bacterial small subunit ribosomal RNA
Source: RNAcentral